This is an RNA transcript of Drosophila santomea, 1239 nucleotides long. It is a transcript of the gene named prenylated Rab acceptor protein 1, with no coding region annotated. The transcript has 4 exons. The record is from RefSeq and is a predicted model, not a curated record. NCBI's taxonomy places the organism in Eukaryota, Metazoa, Arthropoda, Insecta, Diptera, Drosophilidae.
CACGUCAGGCAACGGCAAUCCUAGAACUAUCUGCCACAUCAGAUUUUUCAAACUUUGUGUACUAUUUCUCAAAAGAAAACGAUGUCAUAGCAAAUUAAGAGUAAAUUGUAAAAUCAACAUCGAAAGUGUCGCCGCCUGCAUGUAGAAGUGAUCCCGGGAGAGUCCUCGUUGCUUCACAAACGCCGCAGCAUCCGAAAAAUUCUUCUCGGACCAAGUGGGACGACUGCAAAGAUACAGAUUUACACACUUGUAGAACGCCCACACUUGUGAAAGAAGAAUCGUAGAUUGGAGCGAAGACGUGUCUCUAAGAUAAGGGUUAGGACGAGACCAAGAAAGCACACUCGAAAUGGCUCAGACUAGCGGGAAUUUGUCCGGCAAUAUGCAGCCGCCUCCGCCUUCAGGAGGCAGGUUCUCCGUGGACCUUCAAAGCCUGCCCUCUCUAUCCAACCUUCCGUCACCACUGCAGAUCUUCCAAAUGGUCCGGAACUCCCUGCGACCCUGGGCAGUCUUCUUUAACAUCAACAACUUCAAAACGGCCGUCAGCAUGCAGCGGCUGAAUAGCCGGGUUAUUCGGAAUCUCUCCUACUUUCAGGCCAACUACGUUUUCAUCUUUUUUGUACUGAUGAUCUACUGCCUCAUCACGGCUCCCUGUAUACUGCUGGUCAUCCUGGCUGCCGCCUUUGGCUGCCAUAAAUUGCGCGUGCGCAACAGCAACAUCACCAUCGUGGGACAACAAUUGACGCCCAGCCAGCAGAUCAUCGCACUCAAUCUGGCGACGGCACCUGUGCUUUUCCUGGUGGGCGCGGGAGCGGUUUUGUUUUGGACCCUGGGUGCUUCAUGCUUCGUAAUCGCUAUGCAUGCUAUAUUCUACAAUAUCGAUGCUAUUGUAACGGAGGAGAAUGAGGGCUUCCUCGCCCAGGUAGUCUGACCGCCAGCCAGAAGCUAAAGCCUGAUCUUCUGGGAUAGAGACAACCUGGGAAGAGAUUCAUACGACUAUAUUCCUUUUGGCAAAUCAAUCGCAAGAUAUUAGGCGCAUUCGCGGAGAACUUCGAUUUAAUUCGAAAAAAUUUAAUUUAAACAAAUUUUUCGACCUAACGGAUGUGGUCGUCACUAGACUAGACUCUUGGCACCUACUAUAUCUCAGAUAUUUUCGAGCUCAUGGAUCGUUGAUUAAAACAAUUUUAAGCAUACAUUUUAAAAUGUUGUUCUUUUAAAUAAAGAAUGUGAAUAAUUUAUAAA